GAUGAAGAACGCAGCGAAAUGCGAUAAGUAAUGCGAAUUGCAGAAUUUCCGUGAGUCAUCGAAUCUUUGAACGCACAUUGCGCCCUUUGGUAUUCCUUAGGGCAUGCCUGUUCGAGCGUCAUUUCAACCCUCAAGCCCUGCUUGGUGUUGGGCGUUUGUCCUGCCUCCGCGCGGGACUCGCCUCAAAGACAUUGGCGGCCGGUUUCCCUUUGCAGGCCACGAGCGCAGCACAGCGAGCGCUCUACGUGGACGCGGGGUCGGCGCACCAGAAGCCCUCUUUCUCGAAUUUUGACCUCGGAUCAGGUAGGGAUACCCGCUGAACUUAAGCAUAUCAAUAAGCGGAGGA
RNAcentral lists this unclassified non-coding RNA (346 nucleotides) under soil metagenome. RNAcentral's name for it is "partial contains 5.8S ribosomal RNA, internal transcribed spacer 2, and large subunit ribosomal RNA". The stretch from base 1 to 121 matches the Rfam family "5.8S ribosomal RNA", at positions 35 to 154 of the family's 154-position model. The record is from RNAcentral.